RNAcentral lists this ribosomal RNA (258 nucleotides) under uncultured bacterium. RNAcentral describes it as "partial 16S ribosomal RNA". It matches the Rfam family "Bacterial small subunit ribosomal RNA", at positions 1245 to 1500 of the family's 1533-position model. The record is from RNAcentral.
AGUCGCAAGACCGCGAGGUUUAGCAAAUCUCUUAAAGCCGUUCUCAGUUCGGAUUGUAGGCUGCAACUCGCCUACAUGAAGUCGGAAUCGCUAGUAAUCGCGGAUCAGCAUGCCGCGGUGAAUACGUUCCCGGGCCUUGUACACACCGCCCGUCACACCAUGAGAGUUGGCAAUACCCAACGUACGUGAUCUAACCCGCAAGGGAGGAAGCGUCCUAAGGUAGGGUCAGCGAUUGGGGUGAAGUCGUAACAAGGUAUC